Molecule: long non-coding RNA, 198 nt
Organism: Gossypium arboreum
Lineage: Eukaryota; Viridiplantae; Streptophyta; Magnoliopsida; Malvales; Malvaceae
Exons: 2
Source: RefSeq, a predicted model, not a curated record
AUUGUAGGCGGUUCGUGUGUGGAUUUCGUCAACAUAUCGUCGUAAACAGGUAAUCCCCAACCAUAGUGGGCUUGGAGCUGUGAGGGAAUUUGGAGUGGCCACCCGUUCUGAAAGUUUGAUUUUCUUCUGGUGAACUGGACAUCCUUUUAAUUACGUUUGAGGUUUUGGGCUUUUAAAUAUAAUAAGGCCGCUUAUUUA